GACGAACGCUGGCGGCGUGCCUAAUACAUGCAAGUAGAACGCUGAAGGAGGAGCUUGCUUCUCUGGAUGAGUUGCGAACGGGUGAGUAACGCGUAGGUAACCUGCCUGGUAGCGGGGGAUAACUAUUGGAAACGAUAGCUAAUACCGCAUAAGAGUAGAUGUUGCAUGACAUUUGCUUAAAAGUUGCAAUUGCAUCACUACAAGAUGGACCUGCGUUGUAUUAGCUAGUUGGUGGGGUAACGGCUUACCAAGGCGACGAUACAUAGCCGACCUGAGAGGGGGGUCGGCCACACUGGGACUGAGACAAGGCCCAGACUCCUUCGGGGGGCAGCAGUAGGGAAUCUUCGGCAAUGGACGGAAGUCUGACCGAGCAACGCCGCGUGAGUGAAGAAGGUUUUCGGAUCGUAAAGCUCUGUUGUAAGAGAAGAACGAGUGUGAGAGUGGAAAGUUCACACUGUGACGGUAUCUUACCAGAAAGGGACGGCUAACUACGUG
This 495-nucleotide ribosomal RNA is filed under the name uncultured bacterium. Its description in RNAcentral is "partial 16S ribosomal RNA". It matches the Rfam family "Bacterial small subunit ribosomal RNA", at positions 28 to 507 of the family's 1533-position model. The record is from RNAcentral.